AGUAUUCAAGCCAAGAGUACACACUAAAAUUAAAAUUCAACCUACUCUAAGAAUUUAAAAAGAAAUAAAAUAAAAUAAAAAAUAAAUAAAAGUAAAAGAAAGAAAAACUAAAUCCUGUCUAUGGACAUCCCUCAGUAGAUGUCUGUAAUCAGCCCAUGCUGUCAUCGGCGUCCUCCUGACUCUCAUCAUCCACAUCCUCAAAGUUCUCUUCCUCA
RNAcentral lists this long non-coding RNA (215 nucleotides) under Vigna radiata. RNAcentral describes it as "long non-coding RNA (VRAD_LNC002654)". The record is from RNAcentral. Lineage: Eukaryota; Viridiplantae; Streptophyta; Magnoliopsida; Fabales; Fabaceae.